Labrus bergylta (ballan wrasse) is the source of this 603-nucleotide non-coding RNA. The record is from RefSeq and is a predicted model, not a curated record. NCBI's taxonomy places the organism in Eukaryota, Metazoa, Chordata, Actinopteri, Labriformes, Labridae.
UUCAAGUAAGGUCUGAACAACAUUGGAAAAAUACUGAUAAAAAAUAUGUUUUCUUUCUAAGGUAUAUGCCUAUUUAGUGAUAUUCUAUAUCCAAACUUUUGUGAUGCAUUUAUUGCAAAUGUUUCUAUUGGUAAAUUGAUCAAAUUCAAAUUCAUUGUGCAGCCUUGUAGUUGAAGUCAACAAUUCUAUUGUUUUGGUUCUCAGGAGGAACCCUUUAACCAGCUGCUUGUGAGUCUGUAAUGGUUUAUUUGCAAACUAGUUAAUAAUUAUCAGGGAGCAACUUUACAACAUGUGCACCUGUUGUCUAAGGACACUAAAUGAGAGACAGUAUAACUUUAGGGAUUGGACCGCUACAUUGGAAAGGAAGAUCACUUCAUCGCAGCUGUUGGAAACAGACCAGGUUUGCCUUCAGCAGCUCCAGUUUGGAUGAGAGAAGUUCAGCUGCUUCCUGCUGAGACCCCACAGCUCCCGGUUCCUCCUGCUGCUGGUCGGAGGGCGAGUCAGUCGCUGAGAGACCGGCGAUCUUCUGCUCGAUCUCCAGGAACAUCUCCUGAACAUCAAGAAACACACACUUUUGUCAAACAAUUAAAUAUUUAAAAAUAA